UGCAGUCGAGCGGGGAAAGGUAGCUUGCUACUGGACCUAGCGGCGGACGGGUGAGUAAUACUUAGGAAUCUGCCUAUUAGUGGGGGACAACGUUCCGAAAGGAGCGCUAAUACCGCAUACGCCCUACGGGGGAAAGCAGGGGAUCUUCGGACCUUGCGCUAAUAGAUGAGCCUAAGUCGGAUUAGCUAGUUGGUAGGGUAAAGGCCUACCAAGGCGACAAUCUGUAGCGGGUCUGAGAGGAUGAUCCGCCACACUGGAACUGAGACACGGCCCAGACUCCUACGGGGGCGGCAGUGGUGAAUAUUGGACAUUGGGGGGGAACCCUGAUCCA
RNAcentral lists this ribosomal RNA (331 nucleotides) under bacterium enrichment culture clone Ean4. RNAcentral's name for it is "bacterial SSU rRNA". It matches the Rfam family "Bacterial small subunit ribosomal RNA", at positions 56 to 390 of the family's 1533-position model. The record is from RNAcentral.